AUGGGCCUUCCCUGCGUCACCUUCUGGACGUCGAGCGCGUUCGCCUUCAUGGCCUGCCAGCAGUGCCAGCGGCUUGUCGACAUGGGCAUUGUCCCCCUCAAAGAGGCUGAGCAGCUGAGGAAUGGACACCUGGACGACACGGUCCUGGACUUGGUGCCGGGGAUGCCCAAAGACAUCCGCCUCAGAGACUUCCCGAGCUUCAUCCGCACGACGGACCCCGACGACGCCAUGCUCAAAAUCCUCCUGCGCUCAAUGGCGUGCCACAGGACCACUCCGUCCGCCGUCAUCUUCCACACCUUCGACGAGAUCGAUCGCGAGGCCAUGGCGGCCAUGUCCACCAUCCUGCCACCGAUCUACGCCGUCGGACCAUUGCCGCUCCUUCUCGAUCAAGUUUCUAGCACCACUGCCAGUGUGGUUGACACGUUAGAAUCAAAUCUAUCCAAGGAGAACUACGCCUGCCUAGAGUGGCUGAAUGGCAAGGGGCCAAACUCGGUGCUCUACGUGAGCUUCGGCAGCAUAGCAACGCUGACGAGGGAGCAACUGGUGGAGUUCGCGUGCGGUUUGGCCAAUAGCAAAAAGGACUUCCUGUGGGUGAUCAGAAACGAUCAAGUGAUCAACGGCGACGACGACCCCGCUGCCGCCGCCGUGCUGCCACCGGAGUUCCAGGAGGAGACGAAGGCGAGGAGCCACGUGACGAGCUGGUGCCCGCAGGAGGCGGUGCUCCGUCACGAGGCGACGUGCGCGUUCCUGACGCACUGCGGGUGGAACUCCGUCCUGGAGAGCAUCGGCGCCGGGGUGCCGAUGCUCUGCUGGCCCUUCGGCGCCGACCAGUACACGAACACGAGGUACGUUUGCUCGGAGUGGCGCCUCGGCUUGGAGAUCGGCGGCGGCGAUGUCAAGAGGGACGAGGUGGAGGCGGCCAUCCGGGAGGUGAUGGAUGGAGGAGACAAGGGAAAAGCGAUGACGAGAAUGGCCAUGGAAUGGAAGGAGAAGGCGACCGCGGCUGCACUGACGGGUGGGCCCUCUUGGGUCAAUCUAGAGAAGGUGGUCGAUGAGGUGCUUGCUGUGCAUCCUAGCAAGAUUAGUGAUACGGAAUCAUGA
Molecule: ribosomal RNA, 1101 nt
Filed under: Triticum aestivum (bread wheat)
Lineage: Eukaryota; Viridiplantae; Streptophyta; Magnoliopsida; Poales; Poaceae
Description: partial small subunit ribosomal RNA
Source: RNAcentral